AUGCACAUUUAUGAGGAAUCCUUGAUGGUAGAGUCCUGGUGGUCCUCAGGAUUUGCCUUCCAGAUGUAUGGCUUCUCCAUCAGUCCUCCAGAAUCCUGAGGAUCCUGGUUGGUGGAGUGAUGUCGUCCUCCAGAGUCUUGGCUCCUCCAUCAGCUCUCCUCAGCCAGAGUCCUGGUCUGGAACAAACAGCGCGAGUCUGGCCCUAAAUCCUUGUUGGUAGAGUGAUGGUCAUCCUCCAGAUUCACGGCUCCCCUACCAGCUCGCCUCCGCUCCAGAAACACGUUCUAUGUUUCAGAUGAGCUUGGUGAUGGUUACCCUCUGGUCCGGUGCUGCAGGCCCCUGGACUCCAGCCUCAGUCUCCGGUCCAUCCUGGCACCACAAGACGGUCCCCAGCCUCUCAGCCUCGCCUUUCAGCUGCAG
This is a long non-coding RNA of Gadus macrocephalus (Pacific cod), 420 nucleotides long. RefSeq lists it as uncharacterized. The transcript has 4 exons. Lineage: Eukaryota; Metazoa; Chordata; Actinopteri; Gadiformes; Gadidae. The record is from RefSeq and is a predicted model, not a curated record.